RNAcentral lists this unclassified non-coding RNA (139 nucleotides) under soil metagenome. RNAcentral describes it as "partial internal transcribed spacer 1". The record is from RNAcentral.
CCCAGAGUAUGCGGGCUUUGCCUGCCACCUCUUACCCAUGUCUUUUGAGUACCUUCGUUUCCUCGGCGGGUCCGCCUGCCGACUGGACAAUUUAAACCAUUUGCAGUUGCAAUCAGCGUCUGAAAAAACUUAAUAGUUA